This 465-nucleotide ribosomal RNA is filed under the name uncultured bacterium. RNAcentral describes it as "partial 16S ribosomal RNA". It matches the Rfam family "Bacterial small subunit ribosomal RNA", at positions 28 to 507 of the family's 1533-position model. The record is from RNAcentral.
GACGAACGCUGGCGGCGUGCUUAACACAUGCAAGUCGAACGGAAAGGCCCUGCUUGCAGGGUACUCGAGUGGCGAACGGGUGAGUAACACGUGGGUGAUCUGCCCUGCACUUCGGGAUAAGCCUGGGAAACUGGGUCUAAUACCGGAUAGGAGCCAUUUUUAGUGUGAUGGUUGGAAAGUUUUUUCGGUGUAGGAUGAGCUCGCGGCCUAUCAGCUUGUUGGUGGGGUAAUGGCCUACCAAGGCGGCGACGGGUAGCCGGCCUGAGAGGGUGGACGGCCACAUUGGGACUGAGAUACGGCCCAGACUCCUACGGGAGGCAGCAGUGGGGAAUAUUGCACAAUGGGCGCAAGCCUGAUGCAGCGGCGCCGCGUGGGGGAUGACGGCCUUCGGGUUGUAAACUCCUUUCGCUAGGGACGAAGCUUUUUGUGACGGUACCUAGAGAAGAAGCACCGGCUAACUACGUG